UUGAAUGAAUGGAAACAAGUUGUCUGACUUCAAACUUGGUUUAAUGACCAUCGAGGAUGCAACAUAACAGAACGGCAGUCACACACAACUGGAGCUACAUGUCCAGCCAGCCUACAGAGUAACACGCAUGCGCAGAAUAACUUCCUACUAGUACAGCACCCGCAGCAGCUCAACAUAGACUGUGAACAACAUAUACUGAACACAGUGACUGAUCUACAUAGCUUUUUUAAAA
Long non-coding RNA from Sander lucioperca (pikeperch), 232 nucleotides. RefSeq lists it as uncharacterized. The transcript has 3 exons. The record is from RefSeq and is a predicted model, not a curated record. NCBI's taxonomy places the organism in Eukaryota, Metazoa, Chordata, Actinopteri, Perciformes, Percidae.